UUAAUUUAGAAUUUUUUUUUUUAAUAAAUUAAUUAAAAUUAAUUUAUUAAAAAAAAAAUUUAAUAUUUUAAGGGAUAAUCUUUAAAUUAAAUUAUUAUAAGGUUUAUUAUAUUUUAUUUAAAAUUUUUAAAAUUUAUAUUGUUUAUAAAUUAUAUUUUUUUAUAAAAAAUUUUAUUUUUAAUAAAAUUUUUAAUAAAAUUUUUAAUUUUUUAUAAAAAAAUAAUUUUUAAUUUAAUAAAAUUAGAUAUAAUGAUAAAAUUAGUAUAAAAUUGUUUUAUUUAAUUUUAUAAAUUAUUUAUAAUUAAAAUUAAAUAUUAAUUGAUAAUUUAAUAUUUUUAAUAAUUUAUAUUUUAAUUUAUAUUUAUUUAAUUAAUGAUUGUAAUUAAAAAAAAAUAUUUAAAAUUAAAAUAUUUUAAAAGUAGAAAAAAGGAAUUCGGCAAAUAUUUAUAUUCACUUGUUUAUCAAAAACAUGUCUUUUUGAUUAUAAUUUAAAGUCGAAUCUGCCCACUGAUUUAAUUAUUAAAGGGCUGCAGUAUAUUGACUGUACAAAGGUAGCAUAAUCAUUAGUCUUUUAAUUGAAGACUUGUAUGAAAGAUUUGAUGAAAUAUAAACUGUCUCUUUUUUAUAUUUAGAAUUUAAUUUUUUAGUUAAAAAGCUAAAAUAAAUUUAAAAGACGAGAAGACCCUAUAGAGUUUUAUAUUUAAUUUAAUUAUAUUUUUAUAUUAAUUUUCAUUGAAAAUUAUUUUAAUUAUUUUAUUGGGGUGAUAAAAAAAUUAAUAAAACUUUUUUUAAAAAUAAAACAUUGAUUUAUGAGAAAAUGAUCCAUAGAUUAUGAUUAAAAGAAAAAAUUACCUUAGGGAUAACAGCGUAAUUUUUUUUUUUAGUUCAUAUAGAAAAAAGAGUUUGCGACCUCGAUGUUGGAUUAAGAUAAAAUUUAAAUGCAGAAGUUUAAAAUUUUGAUCUGUUCGAUCAUUAAAAUCUUACAUGAUCUGAGUUCAAACCGGUGUAAGCCAGGUUGGUUUCUAUCUUUAAAAAAUUAAAAUAUUUUAGUACGAAAGGAUUAAAUAUUUAAAUUAUAAUUUAUAUAGAAGAAUUUUAUUAAUUUAAUUUAUACAUUUGUAUGUUUAGUAAGUAGUUAAAA
RNAcentral lists this ribosomal RNA (1141 nucleotides) under Malaza empyreus. RNAcentral's name for it is "16S ribosomal RNA". The record is from RNAcentral. Lineage: Eukaryota; Metazoa; Arthropoda; Insecta; Lepidoptera; Hesperiidae.